This 529-nucleotide long non-coding RNA is filed under the name Homo sapiens (human). RNAcentral's name for it is "HSALNT0168502". Lineage: Eukaryota; Metazoa; Chordata; Mammalia; Primates; Hominidae. The record is from RNAcentral.
CUCGAUUAGUCACAAUAUUAAGUUAAUCUGUUUUUAUUUUCCAACACUUGAAAAUGUGGUGUUACAAAAAGGUUAUGUAAAUUGGGAUAAUCCCAUGUAAAAAUGAGUGGGUUCACCAACACUUUACGCUAACACAAUUUUAAAAAAAGAUUAGCUACUGCAUGAAGUGAAAGUGACUAACAUGGUAUUUCUUCUGGGAUUAAUACUGGGUAUACUUAGGUGUCUCUACUACUUGUUCUCAACACCUGAGCAAUCUCCUUAAGAAUCAAGCCCUAACAAAGAAGAAGAGCUACAGCUAAAAGGUCUCUUCAAACAUUAAGAUGUACGAGCCUCUAGCUUCGUUUCAAGAAUGAAUAUUACGAGAGACAGGAGGGGAAUCUGCCAUUGUCUUCAAGCCUGGACCCCAAAACUGACAAACUUCACUGCCACCACAUUCUGUUAGUCAGACAGUCAGAUCCCACCCAGAUUCAAGAGGAAGAGACCUAGACCCCACCUCUUAACAGAAGAAGUGUCAAAGAAUUUGAAGCCA